CCUACGUGAGGCAGCAGUGAGGAAUAUUGGUCAAUGGGCGCGAGCCUGAACCAGCCAAGUCGCGUGAGGGAAGACGGUCCUAUGGAUUGUAAACCUCUUUUGUCGGGGAGCAAAAGACGCCACGCGUGGCGUUCCGAGAGUACCCGAAGAAAAAGCAUCGGCUAACUCCGUGCCAGCAGCCGCGGUAAUACGGAGGAUGCGAGAGUUAUCCGGAUUUAUUGGGUUUAAAGGGUGCGCAGGCGGAAGGUCAAGUCAGCGGUAAAAUUGCGAGGCUCAACCUCGUGGAGCCGUUGAAACUGGUUUUCUUGAGUGAGUGAGAAGUAUGCGGAAUGCGUGGUGUAGCGGUGAAAUGCAUAGAUAUCACGCAGAACUCCGAUUGCGAAGGCAGCAUACCGGCGCUCAACUGACGCUCAUGCACGAAAGUGUGGGUAUCGAACAGGAUUAGAUACCCCUGUAGUC
RNAcentral lists this ribosomal RNA (459 nucleotides) under uncultured bacterium. RNAcentral's name for it is "partial 16S ribosomal RNA". It matches the Rfam family "Bacterial small subunit ribosomal RNA", at positions 338 to 795 of the family's 1533-position model. The record is from RNAcentral.